Long non-coding RNA from Acinonyx jubatus (cheetah), 770 nucleotides. RefSeq lists it as uncharacterized. NCBI's taxonomy places the organism in Eukaryota, Metazoa, Chordata, Mammalia, Carnivora, Felidae. The record is from RefSeq and is a predicted model, not a curated record. The transcript has 2 exons.
AGGCCGGGGCCUGGGCAGGGCAGGCGGGAGCGCGCUUGCGCAGUGAGCGCCGCCUCGUGGAGGCCGUCAGGGUGGAGGGAAGUGAGGGUUGAAAGGUUGUAACCGUAGCAGGUAUCCUACCUCGCUAUUUUUUUCGAAGUUCUUCCUCUUUUUUCCUCCCAUUUGGUUUUCUCCACACUCCUCAGAGGAUAGGAAGUCAGAGUGUCAUUUUACAGCAGAGUGGAUGCAGGCACUGGAACCCUUGGCAGUAGGGGGGGGAAAAUGAGAUAAUCUGCACAACUUGUCUGGAUAUGACACCUGCUACUUCUGCCCACAUCUCAUUGGCCAGAGUAAGUCAUGUGACCAAGCCUGACUUCAAAGGGAUGGGACUGUGCAACUCUGCAGUGUGCUCUGAAGAAGAAAAAGAGAAUGUGUGUUCCACAGUCAUGACUACACUAGACAUUUCUUCUUUUACAAGGGUGGCUCCUACAACCACCAGCCUUCUAAAGUGAUUGUGUCCAAACUGGGACUCAGAAAAUUAUUUAUUAUUAUCACUCAUAUAAUAAUAACGAGUGAUAAUAAUAAAUCUUCAAUAGGAAAAAUGGAGCCAUGCAAGUUUUCAAAUGAAGGCAUAAGUUAUAUAGCAAAUAGGGACAUUAAUUUGGCAGCUGUGAGUAGGAAGGUUUGGAGGGGAGGAAGAAGAUUGGGAGACUUGCAAGAGGUGUGGUGACGUGGAAUUACACAGAAAGUUCUAGAAGAAAUAAAUACAUUAAAUCAUUUUUUAAUUUAAA